AGCAGCCGCGGUAAUUCCAGCUCCAAUAGCGUAUAUUAAAGUUGUUGCAGUUAAAAGCUCGUAGUUGAAUUUCGGGAUCAAUAUGUUGGUCGUGCCUCGGUACGUACUAGCUUAUUGGUUUCUCCUUUCUGAAGAACCAUGAUGUCAUUUAUUUGGUGUCGUGGGGAAUCAGGACUGUUACUUUGAAAAAUUAGAGUGUUUAAAGCAGGCUCACGCUUGAAUACAUUAGCAUGGAAUAAUGAAAUAGGACGUUUGAUUCUAUUUUGUUGGUUUCUAGGAUCGACGUAAUGAUUAAUAGGGAUAGUUGGGGGCAUUAGUAUUCAAUUGUCAGAGGUGAAAUUCUUGGAUUUAUUGAAGACUAACUACUGCGAAAGCAUUUGCCAAGGAUGUUUUCAUUAAUCAAGAACGAAAGUUAGGGAUCGAAGACGAUCAGAUACCGUCGUAGUCUUAACCAUAAACUAUGCCGACUAGGGAUCGGAUGAUGUUAAUUUUUAUGUACUCUAUUCGGCG
RNAcentral lists this unclassified non-coding RNA (510 nucleotides) under uncultured Glomus. RNAcentral describes it as "SSU rRNA". It matches the Rfam family "Eukaryotic small subunit ribosomal RNA", at positions 569 to 1085 of the family's 1831-position model. Lineage: Eukaryota; Fungi; Glomeromycota; Glomeromycetes; Glomerales; Glomeraceae. The record is from RNAcentral.